RNAcentral lists this transfer RNA (74 nucleotides) under Candidatus Omnitrophota bacterium. Its description in RNAcentral is "tRNA-Arg". It matches the Rfam family "tRNA". Rfam says of the family: Transfer RNA (tRNA) molecules are approximately 80 nucleotides in length. Their secondary structure includes four short double-helical elements and three loops (D, anti-codon, and T loops). Further hydrogen bonds mediate the characteristic L-shaped molecular structure. tRNAs have two regions of fundamental functional importance: the anti-codon, which is responsible for specific mRNA codon recognition, and the 3' end, to which the tRNAs corresponding amino acid is attached (by aminoacyl-tRNA synthetases). tRNAs cope with the degeneracy of the genetic code in two manners: having more than one tRNA (with a specific anti-codon) for a particular amino acid; and 'wobble' base-pairing, i.e. permitting non-standard base-pairing at the 3rd anti-codon position. The record is from RNAcentral. Lineage: Bacteria; Pseudomonadati; Candidatus Omnitrophota.
GCGCCCAUAGCUCAAUUGGAUAGAGCAUUAGUCUUCGGAACUAAGGGUUGCAGGUUCGAUUCCUGCUGGGCGCA